AACAAAUUGGAUUAUGCACGAAUACAGGCUCAGUGAACCUACAACGAAAACUGGAAGUUCAAGGCUCGACGAUUGGGUUCUAUGUAGGAUUUACAAGAAGAAUUCAGGUGGACAAAAAUCGAGUUGCUCUGAUUUACAGAACAAGGAUAUAAGUCAUGCUUCAUCAUCGUCAUCGUCAUCUCAGUUUGAUGAUAUGCUGGAAUCUCUACCGGCAAUUGAAGAUCGUUAUUUCUCAUUGCCGAGGGUGAAUUCUAUAAGGAAUUUUCAACAAAAUGACAAGAUCAAUCUUCAACAAUUGAGCUCUGGGAACUUCGAUUGGGCUGCUAUGGCGGGAUUAAACUCAUUCCCGGAAUUACGUACCGGAAAUCAAGUUCCAACGCCGGGAAAUCAAACUCCGGUGCUGAUAAACACCAAUCAGUAUCACAAUCACAACGACAAUUUGAAUAAUUUCAACGAAUUUUUCGCCAAUUCAACGGCGUUAAAUUUUCACGGUGAAGUUAAGUUUGAAGGAGGAGUUGAUCAAGAAGUAGAAAGCAGUGUUAGAGCUCAACGACUUAACAGCGUUAACCCGGGUUUCUUCCAAGAGAACUCAACCGGGUUUUCAAGUUCUUAUACAAACUCGGUACCCGACCCAUUUGGGAUUCGGUACCCGACCCAAACAGUAAAUAUGGGUUUUACUGGGUAAAUAGUGGAAGGGUAAAAUGUGAAUGCUCAUAAAUUAACUUGAAGACAAAUUUGGAAAAAUUGUCAUGGUUAUUGAGGUUGAAAGGGCAUUUUAUUCUUUGGUUGGGGAUUAAAAUAGCAAA
This 806-nucleotide unclassified non-coding RNA is filed under the name Hevea brasiliensis (rubber tree). The record is from RNAcentral. Lineage: Eukaryota; Viridiplantae; Streptophyta; Magnoliopsida; Malpighiales; Euphorbiaceae.